AGCGAACGCUGGCGGCAGGCCUAACACAUGCAAGUCGAACGGAUACGUCGGGAUUAGUGGCGGACGGCGGGUGGAGACGUGGGGACUUGCCCGUGAGUUCGCUACAACUGAGUGUAGGAUGACCUAAUACAGGUUGUGCUAUUACGGGAAAAGAUCUAUCGCCAUUGGAUCGGCGUUCGUCUGAUUCGCUGGUUGGGGAGGUAACCGCACAUCAUCGGGACGUUGGGUAGCUGGUGUGAGAGGAUGGUCAGCAACACUGGGAGUGAGACACGGCCCAGAAUCCUACGGGAGGGAGCAGUGGGGAAUCCUGCGCAAUGGGCGAAAGCCUGACGCAGCCAUGCCGCGUGAAUGAUGAAGGUCUUAGGAUUGUACAAUUCUUUCAGCGGGGGCGAUAAUGACGGUACCCGCAGAAGAAGCUCCGGCUAACUUCGUG
RNAcentral lists this ribosomal RNA (433 nucleotides) under uncultured bacterium. Its description in RNAcentral is "partial 16S ribosomal RNA". It matches the Rfam family "Bacterial small subunit ribosomal RNA", at positions 29 to 507 of the family's 1533-position model. The record is from RNAcentral.